CUACGGGGUGCAGCAGUGAGGAAUAUUGCACAAUGGGGGGAACCCUGAUGCAGCAACGCCGCGUGGAGGAUGACGCAUUUCGGUGUGUAAACUCCUUUUAUAUGUCAAGAAAAUGACGGUAGCAUAUGAAUAAGCACCGGCUAACUCCGUGCCAGCAGCCGCGGUAAUACGGAGGGUGGCAAGCGUUACUCGGAAUCACUGGGCGUAAAGGACGCGUAGGCGGGUUGGAAAGUCAGGUGUGAAAUACUACAGCUUAACUGUAGAACUGCACUUGAAACUUCUAAUCUAGAGUAUGGGAGGGGCGAUGUAAUUAGUGGUGUAGGGGUAAAAUCCGUAGAUAUCACUAGGAAUACCUAAAGCGAAGGCGAUCUCCUGGAACAUUACUGACGCUAAGGCGUGAAAGCGUGGGGAGCAAACAGGAUUAGAUACCCCCGUAGUC
RNAcentral lists this ribosomal RNA (439 nucleotides) under uncultured bacterium. RNAcentral's name for it is "partial 16S ribosomal RNA". It matches the Rfam family "Bacterial small subunit ribosomal RNA", at positions 339 to 795 of the family's 1533-position model. The record is from RNAcentral.